AUGCCGAGCAAGGAAGGAGUGGCCAGCGCACCGGCUAGCAGUGGCAACAGUAUGGGCAGCUCUCGUGUGGGGGAUGCAUCUGGUGGUAGAGAUCAGCAACCUAGGGUGAGGGAUCUACCUACCAAGAGGAAUCUGGGCACCGAAUUCUCCCGUUCUGCUGAUAAUUGCACUGGCGAUAAGCAGGGUACUUGGGGGGAGGAGGUUAGGAGCCCAUAUAAAGACAGACGCAGCAAUGAAGUGGCAACGGAUCGGGACCUGCGGGACGAGCUGGAAUCCAGGCGUGAACAUGAUCUUCGCACAAAGCUGAUGGAUCAGCAGUCCAAAAGGAGUGAGGAUAUCCCGAGAGAUGCUGAAAGAGAGAGGAAGGGGAAAGAUAAGCUGCCGGAGUACUCGCAAAGUUACAUGCAGGAGGGUCGGGUUUGUCCAUCGGGUCAACCCGAUAUGCAUGGGAUGCAUGGGAGGCCAAGAGGCCGCUACGUCAGGAAACGGGAGCAGGACCAUGAUGGGAGGCAAAGGGAGGUAUUCAGCGAGCAUUAUGAAGGGGAGGGAAGGAAGAGGAGACCAAGACAGUGUUGGAAAUAUGCCCUAGAGGCAAUAAUAAAUAAGUUAUUAUUAUAUUUCCUUGUUCAUGAUAAUCGUUUAUUAUCCAUGCUAUAA
Molecule: ribosomal RNA, 657 nt
Filed under: Triticum aestivum (bread wheat)
Lineage: Eukaryota; Viridiplantae; Streptophyta; Magnoliopsida; Poales; Poaceae
Description: partial small subunit ribosomal RNA
Source: RNAcentral